This is a long non-coding RNA of Phlebotomus papatasi, 2562 nucleotides long. RefSeq lists it as uncharacterized. The record is from RefSeq and is a predicted model, not a curated record. The transcript is spliced from 3 exons. Lineage: Eukaryota; Metazoa; Arthropoda; Insecta; Diptera; Psychodidae.
GAAAAAAAAGCUCAUUCAGGAUUCCGGGGAGGAUUCAAUGAUGACUUCCUCCCUGGCGGGUGGACGAAUGAUGAGGCUGGUCACAAGCAGAAUGUGGAAUUUCUCUAUGGCAAACCUCAUCAUUCGUCUACGCGCCGUGAAGGAAGUCCCCAUUGAAUCCUCCGCGGAAUCCUGAAGGAGCUUUUUCUUGAAAGAUGUUGCAGUGGGGGAAGACGAAAAUCCCAAUUUGUGACUGAAAUUUAUAUAAUAUUCAUGCGGAGGGGCAAAUAGUUAUCGUCAUAACUUUGAUAGCUAAUCCCUUUUAAACCCUUUAAGCCUCGAUAGAUCACGACGUCCUUGGGGAGACUCAGGGGCUUGUUCUUAAAGGAAUAGGGGAGAUAUUUGGUUCAUGCUCUUCUCUCCUGAUCCAUAGUACUGCUUUAUGGUCUCCAUGGCCCUCGUUAUGGCUUCCCUGCUCCCGGAUCCACGCGAAGUGCUGCAUAAUUCCUUUUCCGACAAAGCUGUUUUUUCUGCUCCCUCAAGGAUAAAUAUAUUAUCUAAGCUUCAGUCACAAAUUGGGAUUUUCGUCUCCCCCGGCUACAGCAUAUUUCUCUCAAUAAACCUCGAGCCCAUCUCCACCUACUAGACGACCACUGGCUGUUACUCAGAGCACCAUCAAGGUCACCAUAAAGUUGGUGAUCAGGAAGCCAAAGGAGAACCUCUCGCCAUUCCUUUACAAUCUCGUCAACAAAGUCAUGAGGGCGCACAAAUUUGAUCCCGCGAAGGCCAAGCUAGCUUCAUUCACUCUAACGGUAACGAUAACGGUAUCUUAUUUUGGCUACGGGAUUCGCAGAGGCGACACAUGACAAAAUCGCAUUGUAUUGAAAAGUUGUGAAAAAAAUUGAUUGCUGUGGUGUGGUGGUCAGGAGUGCCAGGGAGCACCCCACAUCCACAUCAGUAACGAACAGUGAAAGUGUAGAGAGCCAUGGAACGUUCGAAGAGAAAAACAGUCUGUGAGAAGACAAAUCUCACUCAGGAUUCCCAAGAGGAUACACUGAGGACUUCCUCCCUUGGACGUUGGCGAAUUAUUAGGCUGGCCACAUGGAGAGGGAACAGCAGAAACUUGUCGGCAAAGCAGAUAUGCAACACUUCGCGUGGAUCCGGGAGCGGGGAAGCCAUGAAGAGGGCCAUAGGCACCAUCAGGCAGCACCAUGGAUCAGAAGAGAAGAGUAGGAUCAAAAUGUCUGCCAUAUCCCUUGAAGAACAAGCCCCGAAGCUUCUAAUUUUCGUGAGGUGUCGAGGCUCCAAGCAGCUUUCUUCUCCAUCGGCUACAACAUCUUCACCAAGAAGCCGUUGGUAGGAAUAGCACCUCAGCAUCUCAGCAUUUUUCAGAAAACGUGGUGAGUCGCAAUACACAUUUUAAUAAUUAACAACAUUGCAUUAACUGCAUGUCAGUAUAAUUUUUUAACGAUUUGCAAAUAGAUAAUAAUAUAUUAUAUUUGCUAUUCUAAGUGCAAAGCAAUAAAAUAAGUUUUGUAAGAGAAGAGAAUCCGUGAAAAAUCCAUUACAUGUUUUCUGUUUUAUAAGAAAACUUUUCUUUAUAAUUUUAAACGUAAAACUUGAGCGAAAACCGCUUAAUCGCGAUAAUUCCCUAAUGCUUUAUAGAUAACUAUUUAAAUUUUUUAUUUAGUGUUCUAAGUGCCAAAGGAAGAAUAUAAUUUUGAAGGUAUAACACAAAUACGAUUAAAAUUUAGAUUUUGUAUGUAAAAACAAUGCAAAAAAAUGUACCGCUCACAGGAUUUGAACAGUCGGAUACUAAAAAUAAUGAUAUGUUAAAGCGGGUGUUAAAGGAAAGCAAUUGUUCAGCUCGGAAAACAAUUGCAGGGUUUUGAAAUAGCCGCGUAAAUGUUUUAACGUUCGAAAACAAUUGCAAAGUUUGGAUUUUCCCGCCUAAGCAAAGUGAUUUAAAUGUGUUGAAUCCGGUUUGUGUCUUGGUUGAAAAAUUUGCCGCUUUUAACAUUUGAAGUGUUUGAAAUGUUCAAAUGUCCUUACACUUAAGAACUAUACUUCAGUCGAGCUAAAUUUAGAUAGUUAUAAAUUCAAGUUAAAUCUCCUAAAUAAGCGUUUAUAUACUAGGAUACUCAAUGAAUAUGCAUCUCAAACAUAUUAAAUGAAUCUGAUAGUAAAAUUUGGUGUGGUCGUGUUGGUUAACAUUCAAGAAAAACUGCAUUUCAUUCAAUAGUAAUAUGCAAAUUCUGUCCAAAAGAAAAAUAGGUAAUAAAAAAUAGUUGUUAAAAGGAAAAAAAAGAGGGGUGUGUGUGUGGGAAGAAAAAAAAGGGGGUAACGACGAAUAUAUAAGAAUUAUCAGAGGUUAAAAGUGGGAGAGGGGGGGGUAACAAUAAUUAAAUAUAGAAUUAGGAAAAAAGAAUUAGGAAGGGAAAAAAAGGGCAAGGAAAAAGACAGGAAGAAGAAGAGGAGGGAGAUAAGCAGAGAGAGAGAAGAAAAGAGGAAAAAGGGAAGGGCAAAGAAAGGAGGAGGAAAGAGGGAGAAGGAGGAACAGAGAGAGAGAAAGGAAGAGCAAGG